ACUUAACAAGGAUGUCAUAAUUUCCAAGCACAUAUCUGACAAUUCUGUGUGGAAUUGAAGAAAAAGUUGGGU
RNAcentral lists this small nucleolar RNA (72 nucleotides) under Cervus elaphus hippelaphus. Its description in RNAcentral is "Small nucleolar RNA SNORD121A". It matches the Rfam family "Small nucleolar RNA SNORD121A". The record is from Rfam by way of RNAcentral. RNAcentral also lists the same sequence under 1 other name. Lineage: Eukaryota; Metazoa; Chordata; Mammalia; Artiodactyla; Cervidae.